This 3962-nucleotide long non-coding RNA is filed under the name Vitis vinifera (wine grape). Its description in RNAcentral is "long non-coding RNA (VVIN_LNC002208)". The record is from RNAcentral. Lineage: Eukaryota; Viridiplantae; Streptophyta; Magnoliopsida; Vitales; Vitaceae.
UCAUGAUUCGUGCAGCAAGAACAGCAUUACAAAUCUAGAAGAGCCAAAAUAGAAUAUAUUAGUUCUCCUUUUCUAUAAAAAAAGAAAUUUUUAAUUCAUACCAGAAAUAAAAGUAAAAUUCCCUUGUAAAUAACUCUGUCCAAAUGUAGAAAGUUUUUUUAAAACAGCAUACAGGGCUAAUUGACCAUUUCUAUCUAGGGACACAUGUUUGGUCAUGGGAAUGAUAAUAUGGCAUAUGCAGAUCUUUCAUUCGAUAUCUCUCUUGCUUUGUUAGUGAGUGUUAUAGGUUCCAUGUUCAUAUAUCAUUUCUAUAUUAUCCAGGUAAAGCCCAAACUAUAUCCUAUACUCUGAGAUCAAAGAGAGCUUUCCUAUUUUAGAGAAAGCCCACCAAUUUAGCCAUUUUCUUCUUGACAGACAAAAAACCGUUUUAUCUAAACAUAAUGCCAAUCAAAAAGGAGGCAGACCUGAAUUUCAAAAGAAGAAUACAAAAGGCACCAAAAGGUAAGAAACAGGAAAAGGAAACACACUAGCAUACCAAUUUAGUCAUUUUCUUCUUCACAGGCAAAACAACAUUUAAUUAAAAAAUCCCAAUCAAAAAGGAGGCAAACCUCAAUAACAAAAGAGGUAUACAAAAGGCACAAAAAGGCAAGAAUCAGGAAAGAAAACACACUAGUAUGAACCCAGUCUCUCCUAGUCCACAAGUUCUAACAUAGAUAGCCAAAAAGGAAACACCAAUUUAGACAGUCAUUUUCAGCAAGGUCCUAAUAACUUUAUGUCAAUGAGCAUGAUUACGAAAAACAGUUUUUCUAGUUACUUAACUAUCCCCAUUCUUAAUAUAUGGUAACUGCUAGUGCUAGCAGAUCCAGUAUUUGUUUUUAAAUAGCGUACCAAAGCAUGUAUACUUUGCACGCUUCCGGCAUUCUAAAGGAAAGAUCUUUCAUAUAUAGCUCCUCUUCCUUUACAAGAUUCCAAAAUACAUGAUUCAGUUUAGCUGCUUGUACAUUCACCCUGGAAGGGGGUGUAUAAAACAUAAAUCAUGCAAUGGUAAAAAUAACCAUCUUUGAAUAAGACAAAUGGUAUAGAUUUACCAUCAUGAAUCUGUCAAAAGGAUUAUGCAAGUAUACACAAGAACAUGAAAGGAUAGAUCAUUCAUCUAAUCCUUUGGAAUAAUCUUUUAUAAAGGUACUUUAAGUUGAACAACCACCUACUUUAAAGUUCAGGUAUGCAUCAUACCAAAAUGGAUACUAUUUAGAAAAUACAUAAAACACAAGCAAGGUAAUAGAAUGAUUGAGUGGUUGAAAACCACAUAUUCUCUAGACAAGUUCCUUUAAAAAUAAUUCUAAACACAAGGAAAACAAACAGCCAACAAAGCAAAUGCCAAGAUGGAACAUGGAUAAUCUAGACAAUGACAAAAACAAAACUCAAGUCAAUGCAAGACAUGAAUAUAAGAAAUUCAAGCACCACUUUUGAUAGGAUGACAAGGGGCUAAAGGCCUCUUAAGCACCAAAGGCAUUUAUUUUUCCUAUCUUUUUUGGUUUCAGUCUCCUUGUACACAUCCUAUCUCCCUGACUUAUGCCCCUUUCUUUAGGUGACAUGCAUGAUGCACCUAUCAAAAAAAAAAUUUACAACCAACAUCAGGCCUAUAUCCACCCCCAAAUCACAUUAACGAAUUCACUUAAAAAUAUUACACAACUAACACUUGGUUUCCACAACUCACAAAAAAUAAAAGCAACUAAUGAGCUUGUUACAAGUUCAAAUCAACGUCAAGAGCAUGAGUAACUUCAAACACCCUCAAAGGGACCACUUUAUUUAGAGUUCAAUCCAAAUUCCCCAACCCAAAUUUUAUGGACUACUAAAAGAUUGAAAAUUACUUUUUAAGGCAACAAAAAACAAUUAAAGCUUUUAAAUCAUCCUUUGGCUCUGUGAUUAAUUAAGAGCCCCUCUAGCUUCACUCUACUUUAACCUUUCAAGGAUAGCAAUCUUCCACACUCAAUUAAAGAAGUGAAUUCCUUACUCAAAAAUAUCCUAAAACAAUGCGUUUAAAUAGGGCUCCAAUGGCUAGUUGGCAUGCAUUAAAGAGCCAAGCUCAGUUGACUCAACUCCCAAUGGUCACUAAAACUUACAUCAACUUCCCAAAAAAGGGAAAUUAAGCUCGAUGGACCUAGUAAGAAUGGAAGAAAAAACUAGUUCACAAGCUCUACAAAGAAUCAAGUUUUUGUUGACCUAAGUAAGCUCAGUUUUACCCGAGUAUCAAAAGGCAGUCCUACCAAAAGGAAGUUACCCUAAAGCCUUAUAUACACCUCAAGUAAGCCAAACAGCAAAACUUGGAAUACAACAAACACUUCAAAAGCAUGAGAAAAUCACUUCAAACUUUUUAAAAAUCUUCUUUUUAUAGGAAGGAAGGCAUUAUAUUAAUAAAAAAAAACAAGUUCAAGGAAGGAUAAGGUAUUCUUAGAUCUAAACACAAGCAAAGGGAGGUUAAGACAACAAACUUGUAAAAGGGGCCAAAGCUCCAUCAAAACCUCAAAAAUCCAACAAUAUUCUUCAAGAUAGAACAAAAUGCUCAUGGGAUAUAAAUCCCCUAAUAAUAGGCUCCUUAUUUGACCAAAUUAUCUUUUAUUUGGUUUGCCAAUCAAAGUUUCCACAUAAAGAUGCACUCCUUAAAUCUCUUGAGAGGUUAAUAAUGUUUCAAGUUCAAAUAUCCAAUGUCCAUUGUCCACUAUCUCCUCCAGGUAACCAAAAUAGAACAAGAAUCAAGCCGCCCUUGCCAAAAAAGUGAUUAAUAUUGAAAGAAAAUCCCUCAAGCAUACCUUCUAAAAAGAAAGAGCCCUUGCUUUAAUAACCAACCCAAAUAUAACUAAAUUAGAAAAGCUCUAACCUCUUUGUCCUCAAAAUCUCUAAAUACUACAUAGAUCCUCAUUUUCCUAGGUUAUUCAAAGAACAGACAUCAAAAUCCCUAUAAGUCUCAUUAUGCUAUACUAGAACGUAGUUUGUAGAACCACAAGGUUGACAAAGGAGACACUUUGUGAAUGGCUACCACCUCCAGUGGAUUUUGUUAAGUUGCGUUUUGAUGAAUGUUCUUUAGGUAACCUAGGGCAAUUACGAAUUGGAGGGUUGCAAAGAGAUCACUUUGGCUUAGCAUUACGAGCAUUCUUUAAACUUGCAGGUCGAGGUUUAGCAAUUGAGACAAAUUUCUACCCCCUUUUAUAAGGGUUGUUAUAAGCAAAAGUUUUGAGUCUCUCCAAUUUUCUACUAGAAGGUGACUAUGCUAGUGUCAUAUCAUGGGCGACUAAGAAAGAAAGAGGACUAUGGAAGUUUCAUAAUUGGUUGCACCAAAUUAUUGACAUUUCUUUAGAGUUAAGAUGUUCUUUCUUUUGGGCUCCUGGCUUAGGGAAUCACGUGGCAAACGUGUUUACUAGAAGAGGAGCUAGACAUAUCAUUUCUCUGGAUUUUCAAUUUAAUUCCCAGCUUGGAGGAAUUAGUUUCCUAGUCUUUUGGGAUUAUAUUAUGAUUUUAUUAUUUUUAUUUUAUUUCCUAUUUUAAAUAAAGAGAUAAGAAUGAUUGCAUUAAAAAUCUCUAUUUUAAUUCAGUUGGCAUAUAACCCUUAUUUUGAGGGAUUGUUACUAGAAUUGUGGGGAUUCCAUAACAGGUUUAUUGUCAUGCUUUUCCUAUAUAUUCUAGCUUCUUCUACCAUUUAUAAAAUAAGAAAAAUUAGAGUUUUCCUUUCUAAAUUUCAUUAUGAUAUCAAAUCCAAAUCUAUACCUAUCAUUAUCUAAUUGGUGAAAUGCGGAAUGGCUACUCCGAACACAACCUCCACCUCAGAUGUGACCUCUAGCUAAGAGGUUACUUCUUCCAACAUCAAUGGCGGAUUACAAGCUGAGUAAAAAUAAUUACCUCCAAUGGAUCCAUUCAUUUAUGCUUUUCAUACGAGGGAAAAGAAAAGAUGAUUUUCUCACCAAGGC